CGAGGAGAUGUCUGUGACUUAUCAGCUAGUUGGCGGUGUAAUGGAACAUCAAGGGUAAGACGGGUAUGGGGUGUGAGAGCAUGCCCCCACUCACUGUGAGACAGACACUGACCAGACACAUACGGGUGGCUGCAGUGGAGAAUCUUUGGCACAGGGUGUAAGCCAGACCGAAAGAUUCUGCGUGCGGGACAAAGGCCUUCGUGUUGUCAACCGCUCUGUUACGGGAGCAAGGGGAAACCUUGAGCGAUCCUUGGAGGAAGGACCGGUUAAGUUCGUGCCAGCAGCCGCGGUAAUACGAACGGUCCACAUGUUAUCGGGCAUCACUGGGCUUAAAGCGUGAGUUGGUGGUCCAGUAACCAGAGUUUGAAAUCGCUCGGCUCAACCCAGGAAUAGCGAUCUGAAUAACUGGACUCGAGGGAGAUAGAGGUAAGCAGAACUGAAUAUGGAGCGGGAAAAUGAGUUGAUAUCAUCAGGAACACCGGAGGUUAAGGCGGCUUAUCGAGUUUUUUCUGACGCUGAGGGACGAAAGAUAGGGGCGGGAACGAGAUUAGAUACCCCGUUAGUCCUACCCGUAAACGUAGAGUACUGGGCCGGAGUCCCGCACAGGAUUUCAAUCGUCGAGGCAACAACAAGUACUACGCCUGGA
This 646-nucleotide ribosomal RNA is filed under the name uncultured bacterium. Its description in RNAcentral is "bacterial SSU rRNA". It matches the Rfam family "Bacterial small subunit ribosomal RNA", at positions 220 to 877 of the family's 1533-position model. The record is from RNAcentral.